CCUACGGGAGGCAGCAGUGGGGAAUCUUGCGCAAUGGGCGAAAGCCUGACGCAGCCAUGCCGCGUGAAUGAUGAAGGUCUUAGGAUUGUAAAAUUCUUUCACCGGGGACGAUAAUGACGGUACCCGGAGAAGAAGCCCCGGCUAACUUCGUGCCAGCAGCCGCGGUAAUACGAAGGGGGCUAGCGUUGCUCGGAAUUACUGGGCGUAAAGGGAGCGUAGGCGGAUAGUUUAGUCAGAGGUGAAAGCCCAGGGCUCAACCUUGGAAUUGCCUUUGAUACUGGCUAUCUUGAGUGUGGGAGAGGUAUGUGGAACUCCGAGUGUAGAGGUGAAAUUCGUAGAUAUUCGGAAGAACACCAGUGGCGAAGGCGACAUACUGGCCCAUUACUGACGCUGAGGCUCGAAAGCGUGGGGAGCAAACAGGAUUAGAUACCCUGGUAGUCCACGCUGUAAACGAUGAGUGNUAGUUGUCGGCGAUGCAUGCAUGUCGGUGGUCGCGAGCUACGACAUAAGUACGACUCCGCCGUCGGGGUAGGGUACGGUCGGCGAAGAAGUUAAACGUUAACUUAAAUAGUUAAGUUAGUACGGCGUUGNGACGNGCGACGGACGACGACGAGGGAGGAGG
This 622-nucleotide ribosomal RNA is filed under the name uncultured bacterium. RNAcentral describes it as "bacterial SSU rRNA". The stretch from base 1 to 522 matches the Rfam family "Bacterial small subunit ribosomal RNA", at positions 338 to 873 of the family's 1533-position model. The record is from RNAcentral.